Molecule: non-coding RNA, 1517 nt
Organism: Ornithorhynchus anatinus (platypus)
Lineage: Eukaryota; Metazoa; Chordata; Mammalia; Monotremata; Ornithorhynchidae
Source: the annotation of a RefSeq genome assembly
UGGAAAAUUGGCAUUUUUUUUGAGAAACCUGGAUGGGAACUUGGGAGUCAAUUUCCAGGGGACACAGGAGUGGCCUGGGGGGUUCAUGGAGGAUUCAGAGGCAGGAACCUUUCACAUCAGUCAGCUCUCCUUUCUCUUUGAUUUGGGGGGAUUUGAGGGAGCCUCACUGGAUUAUUGACCACCUUCUUCUGUGGUCAGUCUGGGGCUUGGUGAGUCCCAGCCCUGGGGUCCCCAAUGGAGCCUCAAUUGGGAAAUGGCCCCAAGUCCCCAGAUCCCCAAUUGAAGGAGACAAAAGGCAGUUACUGCCAAGGUCCCAUUGUGACUCGCCCCAUUGUGACAACCGGUUAGAGCACUGGGGCCAAGGCACCAUGGUGACUGUCUCCUCAGUUGAUCCAAAGUCUCCUCCAGUUGUGUUUCCCCUGGAAACCUGCAGCUCGGAGAACCAGGACCCUGUGGUGGUUGCCUGCCUGGUCAAAGGGAUCUUCCCAAUGCCAGGGGUGGUUUACUGGGACAGUGACCAGGCUUCUUCCUUCACCCGCACCUACAACUCCAUCCAGUCUACCGGUGGAAGCUUCAGUUUCGUGAGCCAGCUCACCAUGCUCUCCUCCCAGUGCCCGCUGGAAAAGGAGUUCCACUGCACCGCCAUUUACAACAACUUGAAAGCCACGGCCAAUGUGACGUGCCCACCCGUACCACAGUGUUGCAAGUGCUCUCCCAAAGUGCUCCUGCACCCCCCUUCCCUGGAAGGGCUGUUCCUGGGGAAAGGAGCCAAUCUGACCUGCGUGCUCAAGGGCCUGGUGGACCCCCGAGAGACCACCUUCACCUGGACCCGCCCCAACGGAGACCCCUCUCAAGCCACCACGGGGAAUCCUGUGGAGGAGGAGGACGGCACAUACAGCUUGGCCAGCGUCCUGGAGAUCUGCGCUGAGGAGUGGCAUCAGAGAGAUAAAUUCACCUGCACCGUGACCCAUCCAAAGAUGUCCCCGAUUACCCAAACCAUCACCAAACCACCAGGCCCCCUGAACCGGCCCGAGGUCCACCUGCUGGCCCCCUCCACCGAGGAGCUGGCCCUGAAUGAGAUGGCCACCCUGACCUGCCUGGUGAGGGGCUUCAACCCCCCGGACCUGCUGGUGAAGUGGUUGAAGGGGGGACAGGAGGUGUCCCAGACGGACUACGUGACCAGCUCCCCGCAGCGGGAAGCCAGCGAGGGCUCCGCCAGCACAUUCUUCCUGUACAGCACCCUCCGCGUCCCGACCUCCGAAUGGAAAGAGGGGGAGAACUACUCCUGCGUGGUGGGCCACGAGGCCCUGCCCCUCAACUUCACCCAGAAAACCAUCGACCAUUCCACCGGCAAACCCAGCACUGUCAACGUGUCCCUGGUCAUGUCCGACACCGCCGGUACCUGUUACUAAGCCCCAUCCCCCCUCCGCCUCCCACGCCUCAGCCCCCAUUCUCUGUCCAGGGGGACCUGCACGAGUCACCUGCUCAAUAAACCAUGAUGCACCCAAAAAGCCCAA